Molecule: ribosomal RNA, 433 nt
Filed under: uncultured bacterium
Lineage: Bacteria
Description: partial 16S ribosomal RNA
Rfam family: Bacterial small subunit ribosomal RNA
Source: RNAcentral
AGCGAACGCUGGCGGCAGGCCUAACACAUGCAAGUCGAACGAACUCUUCGGAGUUAGUGGCGGACGGGUGAGUAACACGUGGGAACGUGCCUUUAGGUUCGGAAUAACUCAGGGAAACUUGUGCUAAUACCGAAUGUGCCCUUCGGGGGAAAGACUUAUCGCCUUUAGAGCGGCCCGCGUCUGAUUAGCUAGUUGGUGAGGUAAAGGCUCACCAAGGCGACGAUCAGUAGCUGGUCUGAGAGGAUGAUCAGCCACAUUGGGACUGAGACACGGCCCAAACUCCUACGGGAGGCAGCAGUGGGGAAUCUUGCGCAAUGGGCGAAAGCCUGACGCAGCCAUGCCGCGUGAAUGAUGAAGGUCUUAGGAUUGUAAAAUUCUUUCACCGGGGACGAUAAUGACGGUACCCGGAGAAGAAGCCCCGGCUAACUUCGUG